RNAcentral lists this long non-coding RNA (479 nucleotides) under Mytilus galloprovincialis (Mediterranean mussel). The record is from RNAcentral. Lineage: Eukaryota; Metazoa; Mollusca; Bivalvia; Mytilida; Mytilidae.
AGUUCAGGCGCGGAUCCAGAGGGGGGGUUCCGGGGGUUGGAACCCCCCUUUUUUUUGGACGAUCAAUGCAUUUGAAUGGGGACAUGUAAUUGGAACCCCCCCCUUUGUCCUGGGUUAGGAACCCCCCCUUUUUAAAAUGGCUGGAUCCGCCCCUGCAGUUUGUGCCUGUCCCAAAUCAGAAUCCUGUUAUUCAUUGGUUGUAGUUUGUUGCUGUGUUAUAUAUAUAUUUUUUUCAUUUUUUUGUACAUUAACUAGGCUGUUAGAUUUCUCAUUUGAAUUAUUUUACAUUUGUCAUUUCAGGGCAUAUUAUAACUGACUAUACAAUAUAUGUUUUGAUCAUUCUUGAAGGAUGUACAGUGAUCUAUAAUUGUUAGUUUCUGUGUCAUUUGAUCUCUUGUGAAGAGCUGUCUCAUUGGCAAUCAUACCAUAUCUCCAAAACAAAAUCAAUUUAAAUGUAGAUCCAAAGUGUGAAUGUGGUC